CCUACGGGAGGCAGCAGUGAGGAAUAUUGGUCAAUGGCCGGAAGGCUGAACCAGCCAUGCCGCGUGAAGGUCAGUGCCCUAUGGGCGUUAAACUUCUUUUGUGCGGGAGCAAUAAUGGUCACGUGUGGCCAGACGAGAGUACCGUACGAAUAAGCAUCGGCUAACUCCGUGCCAGCAGCCGCGGUAAUACGGGGGAUGCAGGCGUUAUCCGGAUUUAUUGGGUUGAAAGGGUGCGUAGGCUGUGAGGUAAGUCAGCGUGGAAAUGCCCCCGCUCAACGGGGUGAAGUGCCAUUGAUACUGCCUUGCUGGAAUGCGGAUGCCGUGGGAGGAAUGUGUGGUGUAGCGGUGAAAUGCAUAGAUAUCACACAGAACACCGAUUGCGAAGGCAUCUCACGAAUCCGCGAUUGACGCUGAUGCACGAAAGCGUGGGUAUCAAACAGGAUUAGAUACCCGAGUAGUC
This 460-nucleotide ribosomal RNA is filed under the name uncultured bacterium. Its description in RNAcentral is "partial 16S ribosomal RNA". It matches the Rfam family "Bacterial small subunit ribosomal RNA", at positions 338 to 795 of the family's 1533-position model. The record is from RNAcentral.